Molecule: ribosomal RNA, 493 nt
Filed under: uncultured bacterium
Lineage: Bacteria
Description: partial 16S ribosomal RNA
Rfam family: Bacterial small subunit ribosomal RNA
Source: RNAcentral
ACGAACGCUGGCGGCGUGCUUAACACAUGCAAGUCGAACGGUGAAGCGCCUUCCUUUUUGGUGGGUGUGGAUGAGUGGCGAACGGGUGAGUAACACGUGAGUAACUUGCCCCCUUCUUCUGGAUAACCGCAUGAAAGUGUGGCUAAUACGGGAUAUUCUGGGUCUGUCGCAUGAUGGGUCUGGGAAAGAUAUUGUUUCGGUGGGGGAUGGGCUCGCGGCCUAUCAGCUUGUUGGUGGGGUGAUGGCCUACCAAGGCGGUGACGGGUAGCCGGCCUGAGAGGGUGGACGGUCACACUGGGACUGAGACACGGCCCAGACUCCUACGGGAGGCAGCAGUGGGGAAUAUUGCACAAUGGGCGCAAGCCUGAUGCAGCGACGCCGCGUGAGGGAUGGAGGCCUUCGGGUUGUGAACCUCUUUCGCCAGUGAAGCAGGCCUGCCUCGUUUGUGGGUGGGUUGACGGUAGCUGGAUAAGAAGCGCCGGCUAACUACGUG